Molecule: ribosomal RNA, 672 nt
Filed under: Cladosporium chalastosporoides
Lineage: Eukaryota; Fungi; Ascomycota; Dothideomycetes; Cladosporiales; Cladosporiaceae
Also listed under: 1 other name
Description: eukaryotic LSU rRNA
Rfam family: Eukaryotic large subunit ribosomal RNA
Source: RNAcentral
AACCACCGACCUAAGUUCCUUGGAACAGGACGUCAUAGAGGGUGAGAAUCCCGUAUGCGGUCGGAAAGGUGCUCUAUACGUAGCUCCUUCGACGAGUCGAGUUGUUUGGGAAUGCAGCUCUAAAUGGGAGGUAAAUUUCUUCUAAAGCUAAAUAUUGGCCAGAGACCGAUAGCGCACAAGUAGAGUGAUCGAAAGAUGAAAAGCACUUUGGAAAGAGAGUUAAAAAGCACGUGAAAUUGUUAAAAGGGAAGGGAUUGCAACCAGACUUGCUCGCGGUGUUCCGCCGGUCUUCUGACCGGUCUACUCGCCGCGUUGCAGGCCAGCAUCGUCUGGUGCCGCUGGAUAAGACUUGAGGAAUGUAGCUCCCUCGGGAGUGUUAUAGCCUCUUGUGAUGCAGCGAGCGCCGGGCGAGGUCCGCGCUUCGGCUAGGAUGCUGGCGUAAUGGUCGUAAUCCGCCCGUCUUGAAACACGGACCAAGGAGUCUAACAUCUAUGCGAGUGUUCGGGUGUCAAACCCCUACGCGUAAUGAAAGUGAACGGAGGUGAGAACCGCAAGGUGCAUCAUCGACCGAUCCUGAUGUCUUCGGAUGGAUUUGAGUAAGAGCAUAGCUGUUGGGACCCGAAAGAUGGUGAACUAUGCCUGAAUAGGGUGAAGCCAGAGGAAACUCUGGUG